UAGGGUUUCAACCCCAGUGAAAUUCCCAAAACCCCAUCUCUCAUUUCUUGCUCGUCUUCAUCAACUGAGCUCCUAUUUUCUUCAAUCAGCUCCUCCAUCAUCAUCAUCCCAUGACGUAACAAUCAAAUUCGUCACAGGAAGCUGAAAAAUUUAAGCUUUCAUGUGUUCUUUGUAAGUACUCUCUCUCUCUGUCUCGGCGACCUCGUUCAUUUUAGAAGCUUUUGGGGAAGUCUGAAUCAUUUUCGACAUUGAUUCUUGAAUAACUUGACUGUUGAUCAAUUAUUCUGGGGGGGAUAAUUUGAUGGGGAAAUCUGGAGGGAAGAAAAAGAAAGGAGGUGCAAACCAUGUCUCCGUGGAUGCUCCGGUGCCGAAAGCCAAUGGUGGUGUUGAUUUGGACUCGUCAGUGUUCUUGAAAAGAGCCCAUGAGCUCAAAGAAGAAGGCAAUAAGAGGUUCCAGAGCAAGGACUACGUAGGUGCUCUUGAGCAGUAUAAUAAUGCGCUUAACCUCAUGCCAAAGACCCACCCCGACAGGGCGGUGUUUCACAGCAACAGGGCUGCUUGCCUGAUGCAGAUGAAGCCCAUAGACUAUGAGACGGUGAUAGCCGAGUGCACGAUGGCGCUUCAGGUUCAGCCCAGGUUCGUCAGGGCGCUGCUUAGGAGGGCUAGGGCAUUGGAGGCCAUAGGAAAGAUCGAAAUGGCUAUGCAGGAUGUUCAGGUGUUGUUGGGGUCAGACCCGAAUAAUGGGGAUGCUUUGGAGAUUGCAAGACGAUUGCGUAUGGCGUUAGGCCCCCGCCAGGAGGCCCAGCAGGACCUCCAAAGCCAGCCGUCCGCGGCUGCUCUCGGUGCUUCUGCUGUCCGCGGGGCUCCAGUUGGUGGCCUAGGGCCAUGUUUGCCUGCCCGUCCGGUGCCUAAGAAGGGGACAUCCUCUGCAGCAGGAUCUGUUUUAUCUACGAGUAGUAAGAUAGAGAAGCCCCAACCAAUUGGAGCAACUGAAAAUGGUCCUGUGCCCAAAGCCCAAAUGCCAAAACUUGUGUUAAAGCCCCUGAGUGGUUCUUCUACUGACCCUCUGAUGAACUCGAGCGUGGAAACCAAGCAGCGGUCUUCAUCUUCGUCGGCAUCAAUAUUGCCUCUCGGUGGUCGGCACUCGAAUGUUGCUAUUCCUUUGAGGGCACUGAAGCUUGUUUAUGAUCAUGACAUAAGGCUUGCCCUGAUGCCUGUGAACUGCAGCUUUAAAGUGUUAAGGGAGAUUAUAAGCAAACGUUUUCCUUCCUCUAAGUCUGUUUUGAUCAAGUAUAGGGAUAACGACGGUGAUUUAGUGACUAUCACAUGUAGCAGUGAGCUCAGAAUGGCAGAGUCUAGCGUCGACAGUGUUAUUGAGAAAGAGCCUGAACCAGAGAAGACCGGUUCCUUCGGGUUGCUUAGGUUGCACAUUGUUGAGGUGACUUCUGAGCAGGAGCCACCUUUAGUGGAGGAAGAUGAAGAGAAGCCUUUGGAAAGUGAGGAGAACAAAGGAGAAGAAAGUCAGUCUCAUUCUUCUCUAGGUGAAUCGGUAUUAGAAGCCGGUGAUUCUGCAAUUGAUAAGAUUGAAAAAGAAGACUCGAAAGAUAAGCAGCCGGGUACUUCAGAAGAUCCAGAAUGCAAGGAUGUUGAGAUGGAUGAUUGGUUGUUUGAGUUUGCUCAGCUUUUCCGCACUCAUGUCGGUAUUGACGCCGAUGCUCACAUAGACUUGCAUGAGCUUGGUAUGGAGCUCUGCACAGAAGCACUUGAGGAAACUGUGACAAGUGAAGAAGCUCAGAAUUUGUUUGACAAGGCAGCUGCAAAAUUCCAAGAGGUAGCAGCUCUAGCUUUCUUCAACUGGGGCAAUGUCCAUAUGUGCGCAGCAAGAAAGCGCAUUCCCUUGGAUGAGUCUGCCGGGAAGGAGGUAGUAGCAGCGCAACUUCAAGUAGCUUAUGAUUGGGUGAGAGAGAAGUACUCAUUGGCCAAAGAGAAGUAUGAGGAAGCUCUCGUAAUCAAGCCAGACUUUUAUGAAGGAUUGCUUGCUUUGGGACAGCAGCAGUUUGAAAUGGCCAAACUUCACUGGUCAUUUGCUCUUGCUAAGAAAAUUGACCUAAUGAGCUGGGAUCCUGCAGAAACACUCAAACUCUUUGAUAGUGCAGAGGAGAAGAUGAAAGCCGCAACGGAGAUGUGGGAGAAGCUGGAGGAACAAAGGGCGAACGAACUGAAAGAUCCAAACUCGAGCAAGAGAGAUGAGCUGCUGAAAAGAAGGAAAAAACAAGGGGCAGAAGGUGAGCCCUUCGGGAGUGCCGGUAAUGGAGAGGUCUCGCCUGAAGAAGCCGCUGAGCAAGCUGCAGUUAUGAGAUCACAGAUCCACCUUUUCUGGGGUAAUAUGCUUUUUGAGCGAUCUCAAGUUGAGUGCAAGUUAGGGAUGGGUGGUUGGAAGGAGAAACUGGAUGCUGCCGUUGAGCGCUUUAAGCUUGCUGGAGCCUCCGAGGCUGACAUUUCAGUUGUUCUGAAGAACCACUACUCUAAUGGAGAUGCAGUGGAAGGACAUGGGAAAAGGGUUGACAACACUAACGCUGACGCAAACUUGGAAAGUGAGAAGAAGGAAGAGGUUGCUCAAGUAGCAGAGAAGUGAUUUGGAGCGCCUUCACAUCUUCUGAGUACAAAAUUAUUCUAGGGGGGACACAGGCAUUUAAUCGUUGAGGGCUACCUAAGGACGUUACUCCUACUGUCAGUUUGUAAAUCCUUGAGCUAAUAACAUUUAGUGUUCUUCUUGCUAGCUCUUCGUAGAUGAUCAAUCUGAUCUUUUGAGCUGAUACAAAGUGCAAAUUCUGUGGGCAAAGUUUGUCUUUUUCCUUAAUCGAAUUACAGCUGAAAAACAUGGAGCCCCUCAAUAACAUCUGACUCCAUCUUUCGUUCUUUGGAGGAGGAUUGUUGAUAGCUUGGG
Molecule: RNA transcript, 2947 nt
Organism: Rhodamnia argentea
Lineage: Eukaryota; Viridiplantae; Streptophyta; Magnoliopsida; Myrtales; Myrtaceae
Gene name: protein CLMP1
Exons: 2
Source: RefSeq, a predicted model, not a curated record